RNAcentral lists this long non-coding RNA (5175 nucleotides) under Sus scrofa (pig). RNAcentral describes it as "lncRNA (ENSSSCG00000055311.1)". Lineage: Eukaryota; Metazoa; Chordata; Mammalia; Artiodactyla; Suidae. The record is from RNAcentral.
GCGGCAUUUCGUGGCGUUAGAAAAACUGAAAAAAGUAGGCUCCGGGCAUUUCCCAUCUUGGCACAGUGAAAACGAAUACGACGGGAGAACGUGAGGUUGCGAAACCUGGGUGAAGGCUCUGGCCUUGCUGUGAGCUGUGGUGUAGGUCGCAGAUACGCUGGGGUCUGGCGUGGCUGUGGUGUAGGCCGGCGGCUGUAGCUCCGGUUGGACCCUUCGACCCCCAGCCUGGGGACCGCCAUGUGCCUCGGGUGCGGCUCUAGAAAGCAAAAAAGCAGGCUCCAGGGUUGUCUUGCCGCCUGGCGGGGGGCGAGGGCGCCUCCAGUUCGCCUUUCCACAGAUAACACGUAGGACUGGGGCUAGUGGGCACCCCUGCCUCCUCCCGCUCCUCCCUUCGCUGGCCGCUCCUACGACUGUGGGGCGGGGCAUCGCUUCGGAGACUGGGGGACACGGGGCGCAGUGGCCUGGACUCCGGAGAGCAGAGGCCGGACAGGCCUGCACCCUUAGGAACCCAAGGAGGCAGUGAGCUGGAUCCUCGGGAACACUGGGACCAGUGACCCGCAGGCUGGAGGAUGGAGUCGGACCGCGCGGACAGUGUUCUGGCUUCUAAGUGGGUGCUGGUUGCCUCUAGCUCACCGUACCUUAAACAUAGUUAUUUUACCAGCAAAAGGGCUUUAUUCAGGAGUAGAAAGGAAUGGCAAUUUGGGACGUACAGUUUGACGAGAGUAUAACCACGUGGGGCAAACAGAGGAAGUGAGAAGGGCUGCUUCCAAGAAGGUCCAUGGGAGGAAAGCGAGAGUGGUGGGGAGGGUUCCAAUUGGCUGGAUGACGGUGGCUUCUCAUUGGCUGAGCAGCAGUGGUCUCCCCUUGGCUGAGCUGUUGCCACCGCGGAAUCUUCCCUCCCUGGCUGGUCUGCGGAGGGGCUGAGAGGUACUUCCCUGAGGGCUCCAGCUUCCGCCUCCAGCCUCCAUCUUUUUUCCCUUUUUAGGGCAGUGCCUGCUGCGCAUGGCAAUUCCCAGGCUAGCGGGCCUACACCACAGCCACAGCAACGUGGGACCCCAGCCGCCUCUGUGACCUACACCACGCUCAUGACUCGGCAAUGCCGGAUCUUUAACCCACUGAGCGGUGCCAGGGUUUGAACCCGAGUCCUCAUGGAUACUAAUCAGUUGGUUAGCCCCUGAGCCAGGGCAGGAACUCCUCCAGCCUCCGUCUUAAAUGAGGUUCCUAUUCCUAAUUGUCACACUAAUUGGGGAGUCCUGAAUCCUCUGUCAAUUAAAAACGCUUUGAAAUGGAAUCAGCACAUGGCAUGUCUCCCAUGCAGACUGACGGGAGCUCCAAGCGAGCCCCUGGUCUCUGGGUGGAGCUGGAGGAAGGUUGCGGGAAAGGACUGCAGCCCCUUGACAGUUUGAGGGUACUUGGCACCUGCAACGUGGCGGGAGGGAGGGAGAAGGUGAGCCUCCCUGAAUGGCAGGAUCAAGCCAGAACUGAACCCGCAUGCGUGAGAGCCGCACCAGGGUUUCUUUUCCUUGCUGCAGGGGAGUUUUCCUGAGGCUCCACACCAGUGAGUCUGCAGGUCCACCGGUCUGGCUUCCGUGGCGGAGGUCUCUCCAGCGCCCUUCACCCGUACCCCUGGGCCACGGCUCCCCGGACAAGCGGGCUCUGUCGGGCGGGACCUUGCUCUCCCACAAGCGGGCUUCACACCACAGACACAGCCAGCUUUCAAAACCUGAAUUAGGUGAAGCUGUUUACAGCAAAUGGUUUUCGUAUAGUCAUCGUUCCUGAAUCGAGUUUUUAGUUUACAUCACCUUAGUUAGAGAAAUACUUUUUUCUGAGCAUAAUGGAGUAGCCAUAUCUGUUAUUUUUGAUUCUUUCCCCCCAUAGAUUGCCUUUUAAAAAGUACAGUGAUUUAAAAAUGUGCUUGUGGCGUUGCCACUGCGGUGCAGGGAUUGGCGGCAGCAUCUCUGGAGCACUGGGACACAGGUUCGAUCCCUGGCCCAGCACAGUGGGUUGGGGAUCCAGCGCUGUUGCAGCUGUGGCUUAGGUCACAACUAUGGAUCAGAGCUGAUCCCUGGCUUGUGAGCUCUGGGGCCGGGGCAGAGAGCAGCCAAAAAAAGAAAUAAAUGACAUUAAGAAAAUGUACUUGUAAGUCCAUAAUUACGGAUAAUAAAAGUUUUGUAAAGUCAACAAAUUAGUAUCUCGUCUUCACUCUAUAGUUUCAGUACUCUCUUAGUGUCUCCUGACCUCGGUACACUCUUAUGAUUUGUUUUCUAUCUUGGGCACAGGAGACAGGUAUACUUACUAAUUUUUCUCAAACACGACAUUUUGUGCAUUGCCUGGACACAUACAUUUUUUAAAUGAAGUUUUAGGGUUUAAGUCGUGUGUCUCGAUUGUGGCUUCAGGGUCCUCCAGGCAGAGGGCUUCUUUGUGGGUCAGGGAGGUGCUUCCACCGUGGUGGUUUGCUGACCUGGGCUCAGUCAGGUGGGUUUUGGCCUCCACAGGUGGCACUGACGUGGGUCCCACUAAGGCAGAGGCUGGGGCGGACGCCAUCAGAGCAGACGCCCAAUGAGGACGAAGACAUUUGCUUUGCCCUUUGCAAGGCAGCUCCAGCUGGUAAGGGGGGUUUCCGGCCCAGCAGGUGGUGUGGGAAGGGCCAAGGAGUGAGGCCUGGCAGCCACAGACUGACCAGCAGCAGGGAGUGGCACCUCCCAAUGCGGGCACCUCCAGACCAAGUGGGGGUGGGGGAGUCUCAGGGCGGCUUCCUGGAACCUAACCUGCCUCGCAGCCAGCACCGCCUUGUGUCCUGGGCGGACUGACCACACCAGGCUGGGGGCCACACAGCAGAGAGCAAAACCACUCUGAAAGAGGAGGGCAGGGUCCCUCCUGCCCCUUGCAGCUGCCCAUUCUGUUGUCACCUGUGCCCUCGUCUUCUCUCCCAUCAGGGCACCCAGGUCAGGGCCCACCGUCCUCCAGUAGAGACUCGUCCUAACCUGAUCACGUCUGCAAAGACCCCAGGGUUAGGGCACACCGACCCACAGCUGCGGGGUAACGGGCGCUGCCGGAACCAGGGCUGCUGCUCGGGGAGUGUGCCCGGCUUCUGACCGCGGCGGGUGGGAGACAGGAGACCUCGGUGGGCAGUGGGCUGUAGGGCUGAGGGGCCCCAUCUCAGGGAGGAAGUGACAGGGCCCCCUGCCCAGGACCUAACCCCUGUGCUGCCGGCCUCGGCCCUCGAAAACCGUGCUCAGGAGACAAGUGUUGGUAGAAACGGAGGCAGUUGCUCUGGUCAGAAGCCGACACUCUGGGGAGGAGGCGGGCUCAGGGUCCCCAAACCAACCAGGAAGAUUCUGCCGUGGAAGUUUUCAAGGGCGACGGGAGGUGACGUCCGUUAAUCGUGGAGCCAGGAGGGCAGCGUCCCCCACGGGCGGCCGGCUUGUUCCCUCUCCUGAGCUUCCUGAGAUGCUGUCCUGUCCCACAGCUUGUUCGCCUUUCGAGACUCUGCCCAAGGGGAGCUGUGGGAAAGGUCCGGUCCUCUGUGCCUCACUUACUCUGCAUUCGUGCUUCUCUCAUCUAGAAGAGAACCGAUCGUUCAGCAAAAGGCGCCGUGUGACCCGGAGACUUGCCGGGUGUCCUAAGGCCAGAGCUGAGCAGGGCCUGGGGGCGCCUGGCUUCAGGGUGGUGGCCAGACAGGAGGGCCUGCUGCAGAGAGCUCCUUCCUGCCCAAAGCUCCUGACCCCUGCAUCAUCUCAAGAUUCUUCCUUCUGGGACCUUCUCUCAACUGGCUUCAGUCCAGCCUCGCAGGCCACGGCCUUCCUCUCUGACGUGAUGAGGACAGAGCUGACCAUUGCAGAAGCAGAAACCCCUACACACUCUGUGGGAUGGGUGUUUGUGGUGAGGAAACAGACUCGGGGGAGCAGGGUACACUGCCAGAGAGACAGCCAGGAGGGAGUCAGGGCCCGGGUUGGACGCGGCCACCUCCAGAGCCUGGUACCUCCUGGCUCUCCCUGCAGGUGCAGCCCCACCAGCCUCCUCUCAAAUGGUUCUCCUCUAACUAGAAAAAGCGCAUCUUGGAGUUGCUGUCGUGGCUCAGUGGGUUAGGAACCCAACGUAGUCUCCAUGACGAUGGGGUUUGAUCCCUGGCCUGGCUCAGUGGGUUAAGGAUCCGGCGUUGCCGUGAGCUGUGGUGUAGGUUGCAGACGUGGCUCGGAUCCCGAGUUGCUGUGGCUGUUGUGUAGGCCGGCAGCUACGGCUCCAAUUAGACCCCUAGCCUGGGAACCUCCAUAUGCCGUGGGUGCGGCCCUAGAAAAGGUGAAAAGACAAAAAAAUUAAAACAAAUAAAAUAAAAUAAAAUAAAAUAAAAUACGACCGUUCACCAUGUUAAGAAUGACAGACUUUUAUGUAACAAAUAGGAAGCUGGUUGACUUUGAAGCCCCGUGCAUGGUAAGUGUGUCGCUGUAGCAGGAUUUCCAUAAACUCCUUGUAUCACCAUCUUCUUGGUGUUUUUAUUAAAAAGGCGACACCUACGUCCCUGGAUCUCCUCGCUCCUGCUAAGAGGGUCUCAUCCCGCCCAGGCGCCUUCGCUGGAGUCGCCUCCCGGGGCCGCGUGGAGACGUGGACACCAGGCCUCAGGGUUCCGGAGGCUGACGCCUGGGGUCAAGGCGCCGGCGGGCCCGGAGGCCUCCUCCUGGGCCUCAGGCCGCUUCUUCACCUGUGCCCUCAGUGGUGACGGGCCAGGGAGUCCUGGGGUCCCUUCUGUGAGGUCCCGACCCCCAUCACGAGGCUCCAUCCUGUGACCCAUCACCUUCCAGAGCGCCUCCCAGCGCCAUCCCCGGGGAGGCUUUGAUCCGUGGGCUUGAGGGAACAGACACUGAGUCUCAGGCAGAACGUGAGCUCCACUGACGUUAUCCAGCCCUCGCACGCACGCUCUCUACUGAAGUAUUUGUUUUUCUCAAAGUGUUGUGAGUCUGGGAGUUCCCAUGUGGCUUAGUGGUAAUAAACUUGACUAGCAUCCAUGAGGACACGGGUUUGAUCCCUGGCCUCUCUCAGUGGGUUAAGGAUCUGGUGUUGCCGGGAGCUGUGGUAUAGGUCGCAGACGUGGCUCAGAUCCCGAGUUACUGUGGCUGUGGUGUAGACCAGCGGCUACAGCUCCAAUUUGACCCCUAGCCUGGGAACCUCCAUAUGCUG